Molecule: long non-coding RNA, 693 nt
Organism: Eurytemora carolleeae
Lineage: Eukaryota; Metazoa; Arthropoda; Copepoda; Calanoida; Temoridae
Exons: 4
Source: RefSeq, a predicted model, not a curated record
UCUCAGCUUCUUGAGGCUGGAUUUGAGCUAAGUAACUAUUUAUACUUAAAAUAAUACAUUUGUUAUUUAUUAAAUUAUUUUGGAAUAUUUGGAGGGACCUUGUCUUAACUAAUAAACUCAAUAGACUGUUCCCUAGACACCUGGUUCUGCAAGGAGCUUCAGGGACCCCUGAACUUCAGGCAUGCAAUCUUAGACACCAUGGAUCUGGCCUACCUACAGAUGUAGGCGGUCUGGGAUCUAAAGCUACCCGGAGACAAACCAAGAUUGGGUACUUGAUGAUAACUGGCUUGAGCAGGGGAUAACAUGGCCGAUCAUGCUCCUGUCUACUCUGGCCUGGAGUAUUGUUAGAAUCCCUUUCUCCGACAUGAAUAGGUACCUAGCUCCACCCUCUCUAGCUGAAUCAGCUAAACUUGAAUAGGGUUCAAUGUCCUUUGGGGCGUGACUUGUUGGAUUGUCAGGCUACAAACAUAUCAAGGGUUCAAUACCCUUUGUAGCUUGGUUUGGGUUGGGUUGUCAUACUCAAACAUAUCAAGGGUUCAAUACCCUUUGUAGCUUGGUUUGGGUUUGGUUUGUCAGCCUACAAACAUAUCUCACUUGGGGGCAUUAAAUUGUACUGUAUUAUUUACAAUUGUGAAUCCUUACUGGUUCACAUUAUGCUGAUAUUAAUUUAAUUUUGGAAUUGUUUAGCUUAAA